AUGCUGAGAGCAGGCAUGGCCGGUAUCGACUUAUCUGGAAACUCUCUAUCAGAGGAGAUCCCAAAUGGGCUCACAACCCUUGUUGGACUCAGGUACCUGAACCUUUCAGGAAAUCACCUAUCAGGUUGUAUUCCAGAAGACAUUGGCAAUCUGGUACUGCUGGAGUCCUUGGACCUUUCUGUGAACCAACUAUGGGGGGAAAUUCCUCCAAGCUUUGCAGAUUUGAAGAGCAUAAGCGCUCUGAACCUCUCGAGCAACAGUCUAUCAGGGAGGAUACCUACGGGCGAUCAGCUGCGGACACUCAUAGAUCCGUCCAUAUACAGUAAUAAUCCUGGGCUAUGCGGGGUUCCGUUGGAAGACUGUAUAAACUCCCCGACACCGACACAAACUGAAAAAAGCCUGGAUGAAGAUAGAGAGGCAUUGUGGCUGUAUUGCUUUGUGGUUGCUGGGUUCAUGUGUGGGUUCUGGCUGUACUGGGGCAUGUUCAUAUUUCGCAGCGAGACAUGGAUAUAUGCAUUCUAUCAGUAUGUGGACAACAUGCAAGCGAAGGCAGCCAAGAAGAUGUACAGCUGCAUGUCCCGCUUCCAGGCCAGCGGCUCUGAAUGA
Molecule: ribosomal RNA, 606 nt
Filed under: Triticum aestivum (bread wheat)
Lineage: Eukaryota; Viridiplantae; Streptophyta; Magnoliopsida; Poales; Poaceae
Description: partial small subunit ribosomal RNA
Source: RNAcentral